Pezoporus occidentalis (night parrot) is the source of this 452-nucleotide long non-coding RNA. RefSeq lists it as uncharacterized. The transcript has 2 exons. NCBI's taxonomy places the organism in Eukaryota, Metazoa, Chordata, Aves, Psittaciformes, Psittacidae. The record is from RefSeq and is a predicted model, not a curated record.
CCGGGUUCUCUGCUCCGGAUUCCGCUGACAGGAGCAGGAAUCUGCAGCUCCUGAGGGAUCUUCAUCCCGCUUGAGAUGUGUGUAAAGGGUCCAAGCCCAGCCCUGUUCACUGUGCCCGAGGGAUGUAUCACCAAGCUGAAGGUUUAAUGUGUGUUUUCUGGAGCUCAAGGGCAGGGAAGCAGAUGUGUGUGGGUUUUCCUGCUUAUAAUUCACCACGUACUCUGCUCUGAAUGAGAAGCUGGUGCAGCACACGGGGAUUCAAACCUGCAUAGACCUGGCUGUGCUCUCAUUGCCCCUGGUGGAGUCUGGAGAAGUGCAUUUGCUAGCAGUGAAGGUACCUAUGAUUAGCUCAAGUGCUGUGAUUCCACUGCAGGCUCUCUGCCACCCACCAGCCUGCAGAGUAUUGGCUGUGUCUUCUGCAUUGCUCCCUGGAGAACAGAGCUUUCCUUAUC